AUGGUCUCAGAAAUUUUAAGUAAUUUGUUUAUUAGCAAGAGAAAAGGGAGGGAGAAAAUUAUCAUAUUGGGAGUGGUAAAAUAGUGGGUGAGAGAUUAAUGGUAAAACAGUGGAUGUAAGCACCAAACAACUCAUCAAAAAACAAAGUGUAUUGUCCAAAUACCACCAUUCAAAAUCAUAUCUCACAUCUCCAAAUACCACCAUUCAAAAGCAUUGGAGGAAAUCACCACCGACACCACAACACCACCAUUGAACCACCACCACAGCACAACCACCGAACCUGCACAGCCACCACGGUUCCAUCAUUUGCUCCAAAUGAAACGUUUCCUUUUCGUAGGAAUGCUACAUCUGUGAUCUGCCUGAACCGCAAAUGGAUUUACUUACAUGAUAAUUGACGAUGAAGUUUUGUUGGGAGAUUAUGCAAUUAAUAAAACCAUCAUCGGCCAUCUCUUCUUGUUGAACCGGUGACGGUGGAGUAAAUUGAAAAUCUGUGCGGAAUCCGGCCGGUGCCGACUACGUUGGGGUUUUGUGGCAGAUUACUUUGUGGCGGAAUAGUAUUAUUAAUUGGAAAUUGAGUGACUGGAUUUAUGAAUGCAACUACCCUCACACCAUGAGUCUGCCAAGGUUUCAGAUGGGUGAUACAUGACCGGCGGUUAUUCUGGUUGUGUGAGGGUUAUAUAGGAGUAGAUACGGUUCUGACGGCGGUGAAACGAUGGUGGGGGGAGACACGUCGGUGGAUGAAUGUUUGUGUCGGUUCCAUAACGGUGUGUCUACCACCGGUGGAGUAUAAAAAAUAAUAACUUUCAAAUAUACUUGGACUUAGGGGAAAGAUGAUAUCAUUUAAUGAAUUGGUGGGAUAAGUCCAAGCAUUUGGAACGGUGGCGUUGGAUGGUUAUGUGACGGUUUAUUUAUGUUGGCGCAACGGUGGGAUUAAUGCAAGUUUUGAAACUGGGGUUGCAUUUGAAACAAACAGUGGGGUUGCAUUUGAAAUGGUAAAUGUAUAAGAGUAUAAUUUGUUUAUACUUUAUAGUCAAGAAGCCACCAAGUCAAUGAAGGCCAACGAAUUGUUGGGAGGAAAUCGUUAAAAGAAGUAAAAAUGUGUUGAAUACUUAAAUAGAAAGAAUGCCUUCAUAUUAGUUGUUGAAAAGAAGUAAAAUGUGUUAAAUACUUGAAUAGAAAGAAUGAAUUC
This 1189-nucleotide long non-coding RNA is filed under the name Helianthus annuus (common sunflower). RNAcentral's name for it is "hypothetical non coding rna". The record is from RNAcentral. Lineage: Eukaryota; Viridiplantae; Streptophyta; Magnoliopsida; Asterales; Asteraceae.